This is a long non-coding RNA of Hyalella azteca, 321 nucleotides long. RefSeq lists it as uncharacterized. The record is from RefSeq and is a predicted model, not a curated record. NCBI's taxonomy places the organism in Eukaryota, Metazoa, Arthropoda, Malacostraca, Amphipoda, Hyalellidae. The transcript is spliced from 4 exons.
GCUGGACGCAUGUCUGCUGCUGGUGCUGACGCUGCUACUGCAGCUCUGCAGAGUUGGAUACAGACGCUGCUUUUCCCCCAAGGUUCACUCCGGCUCUUCGGAGCGACUCUGUGGCAAAGGUUCAUGGUUGAACGCUCCUGAUGUCACCGCCGUCAAGAAUAUUCAGCACCAGCAAGGGUGCGUGCGGUUGUCGCAAGUGAGGUACGCGGUGCAGGGGCGCGCAGGCCGAGGCGGCAGGACGCUGCUGGAGGGCGUCACGCUCGACCUCAAGCAGGGGCACGUCACGGCCCUCCUGGGGCACAACGGCGCCGGCAAGACUAC